GCUAGGCGUGGUGGCAUGUGCCUGUAAUCCCAGCUACUCAGGAGGCUGAGACAGGAGAAUCACUUGAACCCAGGAGGCAGAGGUGGCAGUGAGCCGAGAUUGUAUCACUGCAACCCAGCCUGGGUGACAGAGUGAUAUUCUGUCUCAA
This is an unclassified non-coding RNA of Pongo abelii (Sumatran orangutan), 148 nucleotides long. It matches the Rfam family "Metazoan signal recognition particle RNA". From Rfam's summary of the family: The signal recognition particle (SRP) is a universally conserved ribonucleoprotein. It is involved in the co-translational targeting of proteins to membranes. Lineage: Eukaryota; Metazoa; Chordata; Mammalia; Primates; Hominidae. The record is from Ensembl.